This 604-nucleotide long non-coding RNA is filed under the name Physcomitrium patens. RNAcentral describes it as "long non-coding RNA (PPAT_LNC010144)". Lineage: Eukaryota; Viridiplantae; Streptophyta; Bryopsida; Funariales; Funariaceae. The record is from RNAcentral.
AAGAAAUAAUAUAGAAAUUCAAAAAUAAACUAAAAUAGAAACCUUAAUAAAAUAUUAAAAUAUAAAUCUUAAUUAAAUCCUACUCAAAAUCUAAUCAAAUUCUAAUAAAAUCCAAGUCAAAUCUUAACCAAAUCCUAAAUAAAUCCUAGUCAAAUCCUAAAAAAUUCUAACCAAAUCUUAAUCAAAUCGUAAACCAACUUUAAUCAAAUCCUAGUCAAAUCCUAAACAAAUCCUAACCAAACUCUAAACAAAUCCUAAAAAAAUCCUAAAUAAAUCUUAACCAAAUCCUAAACAAAUCCUAAUCAAAUUCUAAACAAAUCCUAAAAAAAUCCUAACCAAAUCCUAAAUUAAUCAUAGUCAAAUCCUAAAUAAAUCCUGACCAAAUCCUAAACAAAUCCUAAAUAAAUCCUAAAUAAAUCCUAAAUAAAUCCUAAAUAAAUCCUAAACAUAUCCUAAUCAAAUCUUAAACAAAUCCUAAAUAAAUCCUAAAUAAAUCCUAAAUAAAUCCUAAUAAAUCUUAAAUAAAUCCUAAAUAAAUCCUAAUAAAAACCUAAAUAAAUCCUAAAUUUAUCCUAAUCAAAUCCUAAUCAAAUCCUAAAUAAAU